This 487-nucleotide ribosomal RNA is filed under the name uncultured bacterium. Its description in RNAcentral is "bacterial SSU rRNA". It matches the Rfam family "Bacterial small subunit ribosomal RNA", at positions 28 to 507 of the family's 1533-position model. The record is from RNAcentral.
GACGAACGCUGGCGGCGUGCUUAAUGAAUGCGAGUCGAGCGAGAACCAGAUGAGUGCUUGCACAAGUCUGGGGAGAGCGGCAAACGGGUGAGUAACACGUGGGUAACCUGCCCUGCAGACGGGCAUAACAGUUGGAAACGACUGCUAAUUCCCGAUGGUCUGUGGGAGCGUAAGCUUCCAUAGUAAAGGUUUAUUCCGCUGCAGGAUGGGCCCGCGGGCCAUUAGCUUGUUGGUAGGGUAACGGCCUACCAAGGCGACGAUGGCUAGCCGGUCUGAGAGGAUGGUCGGCCACACUGGGACUGAGACAUGGCCCAGACUCCUCCGGGAGUUAGCAUCAGGGAAUCUUGCGCAAUGGGCGAAAGCCUGACGCAGCGACGCCGCGUGAGGGAUGAAGGUCUGCGGAUCGUAAACCUCUGUAAGCAGGGACGAAUGCCCGAUUCUGUCGGGAGUGACGGUACCUGCAGAGUAAGCUCCGGCUAACUACGUG